This 1207-nucleotide long non-coding RNA is filed under the name Triticum aestivum (bread wheat). Its description in RNAcentral is "long non-coding RNA (TAES_LNC016135)". The record is from RNAcentral. Lineage: Eukaryota; Viridiplantae; Streptophyta; Magnoliopsida; Poales; Poaceae.
GAACGUACAUGUGCCUCCAGUAUUAGUAGUAUCAGUGAACGGUGAUAUUAUAUACAGAACCAAGAGUGCCUGCUAAAACAAGGGCAAAUAUACACUAUAAAAGGUCUUCCUUGCAUGAGUUACUAACACUACACCAUGACAACAGUGCUGUCAGACAUGAAGUCAUGUCUUCUUUUGUAUAAUCACCCAAUAGUUCUAUUGCAAUGUCUGGGAUUCAAACUCUCUGGGUACAUAGAAGAGUAGUAAUAAAGGCAACAAUAAAUAGUGAUACAAUAAUUUGCUUUCUUUUGACCUUCAAUGUUUACUAAAAUUAUGGUACUUUUUCACUGUCAAUAGAAGCAAGUAAUUCAGCUAAUACUAAAUCUAACUUAAAGGACUAACUGUAAUUAAUUGGCUAGACUGCUCAUUGUAAUAAUUUUUUGCAGCCUUCGACCACAAAUCGAGCUUUCUUAAUGGUCGCUCUCACUUUAGUUCGACUGGCAAGUCCUUCAUGGCUGCUCUCACCUUUUUAGCUGGUGGCCACCAGCUAGAUGCACAUAGCACAAUGAAAAAAGGUAACCAGAGGGGAUAUCUCAAUGAUGAACUGAACAUGCUAUAACCCUGAAACCACAAAUAACUCACCAUCAGAUAACCUAAUUCUUAAGCUUCCUAUAAAGGGGAAAACUUACUAUGUCAGUCCCAUACAUAUAGUCACAACAUGUAUGCAGCAAAUGUACAGAUAGGAAAAGGUAGAAGGAAAUACAGAGAACACAAUGGAACAAAAGAAAGCCAUUUUUUCACCUAAAAGUUAUUGUCAAAUGCAGCAAGAACAUGUGUGCAUUUUCUUGAAAUGUACAUAUAUGAAAAAGGCAAAAAGAAUAUAUAUUACACAUUGCAGUGACACACAGUCAGUGAUCCUCUCGGCUAUUGCAUGAGUGGAGAAGGCAGCAAACACGACAUAGAAGUGACUUAAAAGGCUAUCACCAUAUUAACAUGUAGAUCAAAAGUAUUGAAUAGAUUGCAAUAUGUUGGGUGGAUGGGACGAGCUACACUUACUAUCAUCUCGAACUGGCCAAUAAUGCUGAGUGGGCAUCAACACCCUUGAAAAGAAAUCGCAGUAUUUUGGUUUAAUCACAAGCUAUGAUAUACUUCUCACUAACUGGCCAUGUUGAUCCUUCAAUGUAGAUCUUGUACCUAUCACCCAACACAACAAAUUCAGUACCAACGA